UACGUAGGGUGCAAGCGUUGUCCGGAAUUACUGGGUGUAAAGGGUCCGCAGGCGGGUAAGCAAGUCGGUGGUGAAAUCCUGCAGCUCAACUGCAGAACUGCCUCCGAUACUGUUUAUCUUGAGUACGAGAGAGGAUGAUGGAAUUCAUGGUGUAGCGGUGAAAUGCGUAGAGAUCAUGAAGAACACCGGUUGCGAAGGCGAUCAUCUGGCUCGUUACUGACGCUCAGGGACGAAAGCGUGGGGAGCAAACAGG
Molecule: ribosomal RNA, 253 nt
Filed under: uncultured bacterium
Lineage: Bacteria
Description: partial 16S ribosomal RNA
Rfam family: Bacterial small subunit ribosomal RNA
Source: RNAcentral